UGACUCUGGUUUCUCUUCAUUACGCACAAGCCUUUUGCCUUUUACUAAAGACUUCCAGGGAGAGGAACACUGAUUAGUUCAAAGAAAAAUAUGUUAGCGAAAAAGCAGGUCCACA
Small nuclear RNA from Oncorhynchus kisutch (coho salmon), 115 nucleotides. Its record names the gene U5. It matches the Rfam family "U5 spliceosomal RNA". From Rfam's summary of the family: U5 RNA is a component of both types of known spliceosome. The precise function of this molecule is unknown, though it is known that the 5' loop is required for splice site selection and p220 binding, and that both the 3' stem-loop and the Sm site are important for Sm protein binding and cap methylation. NCBI's taxonomy places the organism in Eukaryota, Metazoa, Chordata, Actinopteri, Salmoniformes, Salmonidae. The record is from Ensembl.